This is a non-coding RNA of Acanthosepion pharaonis, 95 nucleotides long. The record is from the annotation of a GenBank genome assembly. Lineage: Eukaryota; Metazoa; Mollusca; Cephalopoda; Sepiida; Sepiidae.
GUUGAAACACCUGUUCCCGUACAAUCACCGAAGUUAAGCAACGUUGAGUCUCGUCAGUAACUAGAUGGGUGACCGCUUGUUAAUAUCAGUUGAUG